CUCUGCCCGGAUUUUCUUUUCUUGUUCCCAGUUAUCUUCCAGCUGUAGAGAAAGUAGAGGAGGGCUUGCAGAUCAUCGAGGGUUUUCUGGAAGGAAAGAUACACACGUGUGUCCCACAAUGUACACAGGAGCAGCCGGUCAGACCUGGUUUUCUGCCAUCACUUCUGAGCUGAGUUGAGUGGACUGCAGUGAACAGCUACUGAGUGCCUGCGCCUGGGUGCUAGGUGAGGCCGGGGCAGACCUGAGCACCCGUCAGCAGCAGGCAAAUGAAGACAAACCUUUCUGGAGGCCAAAAGUUGGAGACCCAGGAGCAAACUGAAAUUGACUCAUUCCAGGUCCAAGACAGCCUUGCCCAGCGCCCCGAUGGAGUUGUUGCAUUGUUCCAGGUUCUGGCCCUUUUGCACAAACUCGUUGCCUACUUUGACCCGAGGCCUGGUGAUGCCCUUCUGGAGUUCCCCGGAAUUGAGACCCAUGAGAUGGGCGACUUUGUCAGCCACUGAGCAGGGAUGGAAAAAAACAACAACACAGAGAAACUACAGCUCAAGAAUGAAGAUAGGCAUCAGGGCAUGGCGGAGAGUGUGGUAAACAGGAGAGCCUAAGCUCCAUCCAAAGGGACCAUCACCAUUCAACUGUCCUGAUUAGUCCCACAAAAGAGAGCCGGCCCAUGGCUACCAGAUCUUCUGCUAUCCCAGGAAAACUAGGAAAUUGGGUUUUUAUGAGAAGUCUCCCAAAAUCAAAA
Long non-coding RNA from Eptesicus fuscus (big brown bat), 739 nucleotides. RefSeq lists it as uncharacterized. The record is from RefSeq and is a predicted model, not a curated record. The transcript is spliced from 5 exons. NCBI's taxonomy places the organism in Eukaryota, Metazoa, Chordata, Mammalia, Chiroptera, Vespertilionidae.